AAGUGGCGCACGGGUGAGUAAUACCUUAGUAACCUACCAUUUUGUGGGGGAUAACUCCUCGAAAGAGGGGCUAAUACCGCAUGUAAUCAUUGCGCUAAAGCAAUAUGAUUAAAGGUGGCCUCUAUUUGUAAGCUAUCGCAAGAUGAGGGGCUAAGGCCCCAUUGGCUAGUUGGCAGGGUAAUGGCCUACCAAGGCAAAGAUGGGUAGCUGGUCUGAGAGGACGGCCAGCCACACUGGCACUGAAACACGGGCCAGACUCCUACGGGAGGCAGCAGUGAGGAAUUUUGCGCAAUGGGCGAAAGCCUGACGCAGCGACGCCGCGUGGGGGAUGAAAGCCUUCGGGUUGAAAACUCCUUUCGAUCGCAAAGAAACGCCAUUUGGUUUACACCCAAGUGGUUUUGACGGUACCGAGAGAAAAAACCGCGGCGAACUCUGUGCCGGCGACCGCCCUGAGACAAAGGUGGCAGCGUUUUUCGGUUUACUGGGCGUAAAUAGAGCGUAAGUGGUUGUACAAGUCUGUUGUGAAAUCCCCAAAUUUAAGUUCAUAACUGUCC
Molecule: ribosomal RNA, 554 nt
Filed under: uncultured bacterium
Lineage: Bacteria
Description: bacterial SSU rRNA
Rfam family: Bacterial small subunit ribosomal RNA
Source: RNAcentral